UGGGGAAUAUUGGACAAUGGGCGCAAGCCUGAUCCAGCCAUGCCGCGUGGAUGAUGAAGGCCUUAGGGUUGUAAAGUCCUUUCGGCGGGGAAGAUAAUGACGGUACCCGCAGAAGAAGCCCCGGCUAACUUCGUGCCAGCAGCCGCGGUAAUACGAAGGGGGCUAGCGUUGCUCGGAAUCACUGGGCGUAAAGCGCACGUAGGCGGCUUUUUAAGUCAGGGGUGAAAUCCUGGAGCUCAACUCCAGAACUGCCUUUGAUACUGAGAAGCUUGAGUCCGGGAGAGGUGAGUGGAACUGCGAGUGUAGAGGUGAAAUUCGUAGAUAUUCGCAAGAACACCAGUGGCGAAGGCGGCUCACUGGCCCGAUACUGACACUGAGGCACGAAAGCGUGGGGAGCAAACAGGAUUAGAUACCCCCGUAGUCCCUGAGCGGGCUGGCAAGGCGCAU
This 447-nucleotide ribosomal RNA is filed under the name uncultured bacterium. RNAcentral's name for it is "bacterial SSU rRNA". It matches the Rfam family "Bacterial small subunit ribosomal RNA", at positions 355 to 825 of the family's 1533-position model. The record is from RNAcentral.